AAGAAAGUGUGAGGAUGAGACUACAGAGAGUUUGCAAGUUAGGGUGAAACCUCACCAAUUUCAGUGGGGCCGGGAGUUUUGCCAUUGACCUCAAUAGAGAUAGGACUUCACCCUCAGUGUCUUCAAAAGGGUGAGGGGUCCAGGUGGGACAGCACGAGUAUGAGACUGGUAGAGAGGAGGCCUUGUGGCAGAAGGGGCUAAGGCUGAGGAAAGUCAGGGGAACAAAUCCAUGGUUAGCGUUCACAGCCAAGGAUGGUCAUUUUAACUUGGUUUUACAGAGGGCUGUGGAGGUAGGGGUAGUUUUGGACUGGAAGGUCGUGUUGGCUGGAGUCGUGGAUUCCCAGGAGCACUGAGAUCAGAUAGAGGAAGGCUUGUGAAAGAGUGAAACAGAUGGCAAAGGAUGAAUGCAUGACUCAGAAUUUAAGCAGAGGAAGGUUCAAGGACCGGGAGCUGCUUUCUGCCGGCUGUUUUCCAGCCUUGAUGGCUGUCUGACACAACCUAAGGAGGUGUUCGUGUGUCAAUCUGCCCUCCGAGGGCUCAGACGUGAGCCCAGCUGCGCACCCACAGAGGGGCAUGGAGGGGAAGCAGCUGCUGACAGGCAAGUGAGCCGCGCCCGCAUCCCCCCGUGGAGGCAGGACCUUGGCUCAUCCCCAACACGCACUGGCGAGCUGGUGCAGCGGGGGAGGUCAGACGGACCCGCUGAAGGCUGGCGCCGGUUCUGUGCCGCCCGCAGCAGAGUCCGCUUCAGCGGAUGCGCUCUCCGGCUUUACCCCGAGAACACAGCGCGGCGCCCGGGGAGCCGGGCCGCUGCAGCGCGGAGCAGACGCUGACGGGCACUCGCUGAGUUCAGGUGGGCAACAGCCCAGGGCGGAUAAACUAGACUAAUUCAGCGACCAGCCCUGCCCAGGCUUCAUGCGUUCCUUGCAGCCCCACCCUCCAGGAAAAGUCAAAUCACUCCUUCCUCUCCUGCCCUGGGGGCAGGGCGGAGAUGUGCUUCCCCUUCUCCAGAAUGGGGGGUAGGGUCCGCCCAGCCCAGGGUCCAAUCCAACACGAAGAGGUCCCUGCCCCUCCCACGUGAGCCUUGGAGUUCCUCACCCCUUGGUCCCCUGAUCCCUCGCCCGUCGGGGGAGGAUGCGUGGCGGCUUUUGCUGCUGAUUGUUUGCUGUUCCCGCACCUCCGACAAGCCCAGAGCUUCCGCUUGAGCCAGACAAACUGUUGCUGUCUGUCCUUUGCCUUCUGCUUUCCCACAACGCCCCUUCCAGCCAAGCUCCGGACACUCUUCCUUGUUCAUAACCUCUGCCACCACCACUGUGGCCAGCCAGGCAGCCGUGAACGUGAGAACUGAGGAAUGGAGGGCGACAGAUGCUGCAGGCCUUCGCUGACCGGAUACGUGCAGUGGAGUGCUGGUUCUGGCCCGUGAAACGAGCACGGAUCCUGAUGCAAAUACAGGCCCAUCAGCAGUGGCUGCAGCACUUUUGGUUGCAGAAGGCCACAUUUCUGGAGUGGUGCGCCGAACCCACCGCGGUCCUCCAGUGGAGAAAAGGAUAGUGAUUGGAGUUGCAAGCUUCCCGAGUGAGGGUUGCUAUCGGUUGGUGGCCAGGCAUUUCAGUCCACUCAUCCCCUACCUCUUUCCUGGAAAAUCUGCGUUGAGGGCAGUCAUCAUCUGGGUACACAAGGCCAUAAAACAUAUCCGGCUUCACAGCACUGUGACACUGGGAAACGGGCAGGAUAUAACAGAUGGAAUUGAGGAAAUGGGCUUCCCUAACUGUGCUGGGGCGAUAGACAGGAUCCCGAUUCUGACCCCACCCACCUGAGUACAUAAACAGAACUAGGCAAUUUUCCAUGUUUGUGCGAGCCUACGUGGAUCACCGGGGACAUUUCACUGAUAUUAACAAUAGGUGGAUGGGGGAGGCGCAUGAGGAAUAGGGCUGUCUUUCAAAGGAAGAGAUUUUGUAAAGAAAAAUUUUAAAAAAUGGGAAAGAACAGAUAGAGGCUAGUGGAGUGAACAUCCCCAUCAUGCCUGCCACACCCCCCGCCUCUCCUGGGACCUCCGGUCCUUUGUCCUCCUGCUCCUGGGAGGUAUCCUGAUCAGAACAGGCUGAAAAGAGAGGGACCCAGAUGACAUGGCCACCCCUACUGGCUCCAGCUGACUCCCCCACACCUCCUGGGAUGACAGUUACCAUCUGUGAUACCACCUCCAAGGGGUUUUUCCUUCUAGAAGCCUUUCCAGCUAAAGGGAAAGAAAACAAAAAGUGGUGGUAAAAAGAGAGCCUGAUUUAAUACUUUACAUUAGAAAUGCUUUAACAGCAGGAGAGUGA
This is a long non-coding RNA of Chelonia mydas (Green sea turtle), 2318 nucleotides long. RefSeq lists it as uncharacterized. The transcript is spliced from 3 exons. The record is from RefSeq and is a predicted model, not a curated record. NCBI's taxonomy places the organism in Eukaryota, Metazoa, Chordata, Testudines, Cheloniidae.